RNAcentral lists this ribosomal RNA (232 nucleotides) under uncultured bacterium. Its description in RNAcentral is "partial 16S ribosomal RNA". It matches the Rfam family "Bacterial small subunit ribosomal RNA", at positions 15 to 236 of the family's 1533-position model. The record is from RNAcentral.
GAUCCUGGUUCAGGAUGAACGCUAGCUACAGGCUUAACACAUGCAAGUCGAGGGGAAACGACAUCGAAAGCUUGCUUUUGAUGGGCGUCGACCGGCGCACGGGUGAGUAACGCGCAUCCAACCUGCCCAUCACUUGGGAAUAACCUUGCGAAAGUAAGACUAAUGCCCAAUGAUAUCCCACGAAGGCAUCCGAAUGGGAUUAAAGAUUUAUCGGUGAUGGAUGGGGAUGCGU